UACUUACCUUCCUCUUCUGCAGCUGUCACCCACUUUCAACUAAAUCUUGUAGAUUCAUUACAGAAUUGUAUCUUGAACCUGGCUCCUUCUACCUGCUCCCGUGGACAGUGACUUCAUUUAGAGAUGAAGAAAUUAAAGCUCAGAGAGGUAUGACUUUGACCCAAGGUGACAUGGCCAGAGUGCAAUGCAACCAGGAUUAGAAUCCAAGAAGAUGACCCUAGCCUGUUACCUCCUGACAACUAAGACGAUGUGGUGCCUAGCACAUAUGGUGCAAUCAACAAAUGUCUGGUGAAUAUGGAUGAACGAAUGUAUGAAAUCCUUGAGAACAAUCAAGACUCAGAGAUGAUAUGUUAAGAAUUCUCGCCAAGAAGGAAAGCACAGCAAAGUACAUCAUUUGAAAAGAUUUUGAUGCUUCUGAUAACCUUUAGGAGGAGACCUCACAAUCCAAAUCUAUGUCCAGACAAAUGGAAUAUAUGUCUCCAUUCCUCAAGCAGAAGGAGUCUCUCCCCAUGGCCUCCCCAACCCCAGGCCCAUGGCAAGUGCUACCUGGCUACCACCAAUGACAAUUCGAAGCCCAAGAUUUCUUCAGUCUGCUUAUGGUUAACACUACCAGGCCUCGAACUCUCCCUUUAGGGCAGUGAUCGCCCCUCUGGCCUUGGGUAAGUCCAGAAAUACCAUCCAGGAACCAAGUCCUGGAAUUGGGGACUCUAAGAACUCACAUAUUACCCUACCCCACUGUUACUGAGCUGGUACACAGGCUACAAGAUGAAGUCUCCUUUACUUUUCCCUCUUCUUUUCUCAAGCAAAAGGAGUCUACUCCCAUGACUACAACAGCUGGGAAUGUGUUGAGUUACACCUGCAGCCAUCACAGCACUGGGUCUCACCCAAGGUCCACAGCAAGUGUUGCCUGGCUACCACUGGUGUUGAUUCAAGGCCCAAGCUCUCUCUAAUUAGCAGGUGAUGAAUCUUUCCAGAAUUGGGUGCCGCCCUUCAAGGCACCAUGUUCUCUUCAGAUUCAGUUUAGAAAUAUCAUCCAGGAGCCAGGGCCUGGAAUACGAGUUUCAGGACUCUGCCUCAUGCUGUAUCCUACUGUGGCUGAGCUGGUGUCCAAAUUGCAAGACA
RNAcentral lists this long non-coding RNA (1122 nucleotides) under Homo sapiens (human). Its description in RNAcentral is "non-protein coding lnc-MGST1-7:1". Lineage: Eukaryota; Metazoa; Chordata; Mammalia; Primates; Hominidae. The record is from RNAcentral.